This is a long non-coding RNA of Carlito syrichta (Philippine tarsier), 552 nucleotides long. RefSeq lists it as uncharacterized. NCBI's taxonomy places the organism in Eukaryota, Metazoa, Chordata, Mammalia, Primates, Tarsiidae. The transcript has 3 exons. The record is from RefSeq and is a predicted model, not a curated record.
CACUCCUCCAAGAUCCUAGAGUCUAAGACUCCCUGGACUGAGUCCCAGGUGGAGGGGCCUCGACCCUCAGAGGCAGCAGCAGAAACAAGUAACACAGACUCCAGAGUCCAAGGUCUCAUCCCAAAAGAGUGAUGGCAUCUCAUAUGUCUGCUGUGUCCACUCAAGACCCAGGAACCACUUACUGUGGCGAGGAGACCUCACUCCGCCCUAAGACGAGAGUCCUUUGUCACUCAAUGCAGAGGAAGGACACAUGAGACAUUGGUGACAUACUCAUCUCUGGUGUCCACCCCUCUGUGCCUCUGCACUGUCACUCCCCUGCCGGAAGACUCAACUCCAAGGAUUCUUCCCUGCCAGACUUUCUCCUCAGAGUUCCCAUAGAAACCUGCCCUGCACUGCUGGCCUCAUGUGGACAUUCCAGACCCCCUCUGACCCCACCCUGCUUUGCUUUUGUUCACAACCCUUUUACCAACAUUACAGAAUAUGUUUAUGUUAAUUGCCAAGUCUCAAUCCUAUAGAAUACAAGCUUUGUGAGGGUAAACACAGGGAUUUUAA